This 1510-nucleotide ribosomal RNA is filed under the name uncultured prokaryote. Its description in RNAcentral is "bacterial SSU rRNA". It matches the Rfam family "Bacterial small subunit ribosomal RNA". The record is from RNAcentral.
AUUAGAGUUUGAUCCUGGCUCAGAACGAACGCUGGCGGCGCGUUUUAAGCAUGCAAGUCGAACGGUAGAGGGAGCUUGCUCCCUUGAGAGUGGCGAACGGGUGAGUAACACGUAGGUGAUCUACCCUGAGGUUGGGGAUAGCCUGUGGAAACACAGGGUAAUACCGGAUACGCCGAUUCGUCAAAUUUUUGACGUAUCGGGAAAGACGCUAAGGCGUCGACCUGGGAUGAGCCUGCGGCUCAUUAGCUAGUUGGUGGGGUAAAGGCCUACCAAGGCGACGAUGGGUAGCCGGCCUGAGAGGGUGUACGGCCACACUGGGACUGAGAGACGGCCCAGACUCCUACGGGAGGCAGCAGCUAAGAAUCUUCCGCAAUGGGCGAAAGCCUGACGGAGCGACGCCGCGUGGACGAAGAAGGCCGAAAGGUUGUAAAGUCCUUUUCUUGAUGAAGAAUAAGGGGGGCGGGGAAUGGCCCUCGGAUGACGUUAGUCGAGGAAUAAGCCCCGGCUAAUUACGUGCCAGCAGCCGCGGUAACACGUAAGGGGCGAGCGUUGUUCGGAUUUAUUGGGCGUAAAGGGCGUGUAGGCGGUUGUCCAAGCCUGGUGUGAAAGGCUCUGGCUUAACCAGAGUUAUGCGCUGGGAACUGGGCGACUAGAGUUCAGGAGGGGAAGCUGGAAUUCCUGGUGUAGGGGUGAAAUCUGUAGAUAUCAGGAAGAACACCGGUGGCGAAGGCGAGUUUCUGGCCAUGGACUGACGCUGAGGCGCGAAAGCGUGGGGAGCAAACAGGAUUAGAUACCCUGGUAGUCCACGCUGUAAACGAUGUGCACUAGGUGUCCGCCCCGCGGAGCGUUUUUGGGAGCAAAAACGUUGCGCGGGGUGGGUGCCGCAGUUAACGCGAUAAGUGCACCGCCUGGGGAGUAUGCUCGCAAGGGUGAAACUCAAAGGAAUUGACGGGGGCCCGCACAAGCGGUGGAGCAUGUGGUUUAAUUCGAUGGUACGCGAGGAACCUUACCAGGGCUUGACAUAGGAGGUACGGCGGCAGAGAUGCCGCUUCCCGCAAGGGGUCUCUUACAGGUGCUGCAUGGCUGUCGUCAGCUCGUGCUGUGAAGUGUUGGGUUAAGUCCCGCAACGAGCGCAACCCCUGCUGUCUGUUACCAACAGGUAAUGCUGGGGACUCGGACGGUACUGCCGGUGACAAACCGGAGGAAGGUGGGGACGACGUCAAGUCAUCAUGGCCCUUAUGUCCUGGGCUACACACGUGCUACAAUGGUCGGUACAAAGCGCAGCGAAACGGCGACGUGGAGCAAAUCGCAGAAAGCCGAUCUCAGUACAGAUUGAAGUCUGAAACUCGACUUCAUGAAGGUGGAAUCGCUAGUAAUCGCGCAUCAGCAUGGCGCGGUGAAUACGUUCCCAGGCCUUGUACACACCGCCCGUCACACCACCCGAAUUGGGGGUACCCGAAGUCGCUAGUCUAACCGUAACAGGAGGACGGCGCCGAAGGUAUGCCCUUUU